ACUCCUACGGGAGGCAGCAGUGGGGAAUAUUGCACAAUGGGCGCAAGCCUGAUGCAGCCAUGCCGCGUGUAUGAAGAAGGCCGUUCGGGUUGUAAAGUACUUUCAGCAGUGAGGAAGGUGGGUAUGUUAAUAGCAUACUCAUUUGACGUUAGCUGCAGAAGAAGCACCGGCUAACUCCGUGCCAGCAGCCGCGGUAAUACGGAGGGGGUUAGCGUUGUUCGGAAUUACUGGGCGUAAAGCGCGCGUAGGCUGACUAUUAAGUCAGGGGUGAAUCCGGGGCUCAACCCCGAACGGCCCUUGAUACUGGUAGUCUUGAGUUCGAGAGAGGUGAGUGGAAUUCCGAGUGUAGAGGUGAAAUUCGUGAAUAUUCGGAGGAACACCAGUGGCGAAGGCGGCUCACUGGCUCGGAUCACUGACGCUGAGGUGCGAAAGUGUGGUAGCAAACAGGAUUAGAUACCCUGGUAGGCCUGCU
Molecule: ribosomal RNA, 472 nt
Filed under: uncultured bacterium
Lineage: Bacteria
Description: bacterial SSU rRNA
Rfam family: Bacterial small subunit ribosomal RNA
Source: RNAcentral